UACAUAUGUGGAUAUAGAAGGGUUAGUUAGUAAAUAGUACAAAACCCAUUUAAUAGAGAUUCCAUGAGAGGCAUUUUAUUAUAGAUUGUUGGUUGUUCGAGACCAAAGGACUGUCUUCAAGAAACUGCAUUUUGAUGGUCAUAUUAAUUAAAUGGGUUGCUUGUUUUCUCUUUAUCAGUCCUUCUACUAUCCACAUCCAUA
RNAcentral lists this microRNA precursor (201 nucleotides) under Picea abies (Norway spruce). Its description in RNAcentral is "miR946g stem-loop (pab-MIR946g)". Its record names the gene pab-MIR946g. The record is from miRBase by way of RNAcentral. Lineage: Eukaryota; Viridiplantae; Streptophyta; Pinopsida; Pinales; Pinaceae.